Molecule: long non-coding RNA, 1255 nt
Filed under: Homo sapiens (human)
Lineage: Eukaryota; Metazoa; Chordata; Mammalia; Primates; Hominidae
Description: HSALNT0049214
Source: RNAcentral
GUUGGAGGGGAGAUAAGGCUAAAAAGGGGGAUCUGAAGUCUAGAAUUGUCCUGUGGGUAAAGAAAAGUUCCUGCAGGAGGGACAUGGGGCAGGGGGGCUUCAUCAGGAAGUGCUGAGGGACAGGAAAUCAGACAGAGAUGGCAGCUGGGCAUCCAGAUGUCUGGCCCCAAGGCUCAGACAAGGGCAGCUAGAAUCCAGCAUCCGUCUGCAUGGAUUGCAUGCCAUCCUUGAAUCCACUCACUUGCCCAGCCCCUGAACCAACUGAUGAAUGUGGUGAAGUCUUCCCUUCGUCACCCCAGGUGCAGCCACAGCCUCUGCAGCCACCCUGGGGGAGAGACAGCUCCAGAUUCCCGCAAGGAGCAAAGAGAUUUUUGACUUUGUCUUCUUUUAUUGACAUUGAGGAGAAGCUUCUGACUCAGGCGAGCCUCACAAUAAGCUGUUUUUCAACUUCAGUAGACCCGCCAGCACCAGUUGUUUUCACCUUUGGGGGAUGUGUGCAUUUCUUUUUUUAUUUUCUGAAGUAAUGCAUGUUCAUUUUAACACAUUUAAAUGAGACCAAAAUAAAGUUACAAAGGAGUGCUUCCCCACCUUUCCUUUCUUCUCCUCCUCAGCAGGACCUGCUAAGGUGAGGUGUUCUGGAAGGGUCUCUGCUCCUAGCAGUCACUGGCAGCUUGCCCAAAUUGGAGAAGUUUAACAUCUCUUUUCUCUGAGAAGUAAAAUGUGUUUCUUUGGUGGAUGUGAAACCAACAAACCACUGUGGUGCCUCUCUACAUCUGAAGGAUGAGCCAGCCAAGCCAGGGGAACUGACGACCCCACACACGUCUGCACUGCUGUGGCCGUGUUGAACACGGACUCCUUCUUCAGGGCAGCCUUGGGCCAUCGGAGGGCUGCUGUAUGCAGUGACGGCCACCAAGUGUCCUUGGCCAGGGGAGUGAUUUACAGGGACUGAGAUCCUGACUUGUGACCCAGACACGAAUGCAUCCUUGUUCCAUUUUGUUAUUGCUCAACCGUCAUCUGGCCAUCCCCAAAGCCCACCUCUGUGAGAAAGGCCAGUGCUUGUCCUCGUGACACCCCUGAGACCUCGAUGGAGCAAGUCCCAGGUAAGAAGGAUCCAGGUCACUAACACACAGGGACACUUUGCUCCUGGACCUGCUGGCUGUCCCUCUAGUCAUGGAAGGGUUUAUGCUCACAGCAGUCCGAGACUGGAAGAAUUACUGUGAAGUCCAAAUGGGCCCCAAAGCUGCCUGCCCCUAAG